RNAcentral lists this transfer RNA (83 nucleotides) under bacterium TMED88. RNAcentral's name for it is "tRNA-Ser". It matches the Rfam family "tRNA". Rfam says of the family: Transfer RNA (tRNA) molecules are approximately 80 nucleotides in length. Their secondary structure includes four short double-helical elements and three loops (D, anti-codon, and T loops). RNAcentral also lists the same sequence under 2 other names. The record is from RNAcentral.
GGACGGAUGUCUGAGUGGUUUAAGGUACCAGCCUUGAAAGCUGGCGUAAUUCAUUACCGGGGGUUCGAAUCCCUCUCCGUCCG